Molecule: RNA transcript, 4788 nt
Organism: Musa acuminata AAA Group (dessert banana)
Lineage: Eukaryota; Viridiplantae; Streptophyta; Magnoliopsida; Zingiberales; Musaceae
Exons: 9
Source: RefSeq, a predicted model, not a curated record
UAGUAAUAAUCUUCGUUUUCAAUCGAAUAAACUAAUAUGAAUUAUAAUAAUAUUAGAUAAAAUACUUAAUUAAAACUUUACAUACAAAUUCUUAUUUCGGAUCGAUAAGUAUCUCAUAGUCGGAUCUUUAAGUGGAUCCGACCCGAUAACAUGCGUAGCUGCAGCUACGCCGUUCCCCGGACUAAACUGCCCCGUCGUCCUUUCCUUCAUAUAUAUAUAAAUAGAGAGAGAGCGAGAGAGAGAGAGAGUGAAGCCGGCACCAAGUCACCUACUACACCGACGCCAUUACAACCCACAGCGACAAGAAAGAUAGAGUUGGCCGUCCCGGAGGUUGGUAGUCGAGCUCUUGGAUCGGUCCCGUGACGGAAGGUGAGUUCUUGGCGCGAUCGGAGGUGAAUUGAUCGGCCUGGGUGCUCUCUUGUCGGCUUUGUUUUUCUUGAUCGAGCAAAUCAGUUGGGUUGAGUGUCGCGAUCGGCGAGCCAUUGGUUCUUGCUGCUCGCUAUCCUCCGCAUUGCGAGAGGUCGUGAUCAUUCUGGUGGGUUUCUUUGUUUCUUUGUCUUGGGCGUGGGAAAAUUUGGGUAUUGUCGAGGGGCUUCAUCGGGAUGGUGGAUGCGGUUCCCGUUCUGAUUGGUAGAUCUGAGGAGUUCUUCGAUCUUGAUUGUGGAUUCUAUUGGGUUUUUGAUGACUUCUGAUGGUCCGGUUCGUGAAUUAGAACUUGAGACGGGUUUCGUAUUCUGGGGGGUGAGUGUUUAAGGUUUGGAGUUGUCGAAGAGGAACUGAUAACGUGGUCGCUGGUUGAGGAGGAGGUGGCUUCUUAACAUAGAGGGAUGGACUCUGACACUGUUCUUGAACAUGCAAUGUUCCGGCUCUCUCCGAGACGCUCGAGGUGCGAAUUGUUCGUAUCUGGCAAUGGGAAGACUGAGAAGAUAGCAUCUGGAUUCUUGAAGCCAUUCAUCACUCACUUGAAGAUUGCAGCAGAGCAGGCUGCACGUGCGGCUAGUUCUGUGAAGCUCGAGGUUGAGAGGAGGAAGAAUGAUGGAACAUGGUUUAAGAAAGGAACGGUUGAAAGGUUUGUUCGGUUUGUCAGGACACCUGAAAUUCUGGAGUUAGUCAAUGCAUUUGAUGCAGAAAAUUUACAACUGGAAGGGGCCAAGAGAGUAUAUUUGCAGGGUCCAGGAGAUCCACUUUCUGGUCCAUUGGGUGGAAAUCAAGUAACUACUGAAGCAACAGCAGAGAUAACAAAGAAGGAGCUUCUUAGAGCUAUUGAUGUGCGGCUUGUCACGGUUAAGCAGGACAUAGCCACAGCUUUUGCUCGGGCAUCUGAUGCUGGAUUUACCCCUGACAGUGUCUUGGAGCUUCUUCACUUUGCCGAGUACUUUGGUGCAAAUUGCCUGAAUGAAGCAUGCACCAAGUUCAUUUCACUUUGCCAAAGGCACCCUGAACUUGUUACUCUUCAACCCCUGCCACAGUCGUUGCCUCCGCCACUAAAGAACACUAAUUAUUGGAAUGUUCAAACUUCCUCUAGCUUAGAUAUGUCAAUACAUGAGCCAGAAGUCGAGCCCAAGGUUCCUGGUAAACCACAUCAUGGAUGUGGCGUUAAACUCCACAUGCCCAGUAGUAGCCAUCCAGCACAGGAAAAUGCAGCAGAGUUGUUGGGUACAUAUCAGCAACUUAAACCUAGUCAGCCGAAAUUUUUAGAUAGAACAGUUGGAAAGGUGGUGGAUGAUCCUACUCCCGCUGCAUUGGGAACUGAGCCAGCUCAACAGGAUGGAGGGGACUCCAGGCAUCUAAGCGUGCAAGACCGUAUCAAUCUCUUUGAGAGCAAGAAGAAAGAACAGCCUGCGAGUUGCAAAAAUCUCAGCUCUAAUAUUGUUGUUAAUAGAAUUAUAGCAGGGAAAGGGGGCCAUAGGAGGUUCCCCUCUGAUGCCUCAGAUAAGUCAGUGUUUAGAAGAUGGAGUGGUGCAAGUGACAUGAGCUUAGAUCUUAGCAGCAGUGUUGGUAGCAGCUUCAAUGACAGAGAAGGCUAUGGGAGCACUUCUGGCACUCCUACAACUGUCAAUUUGUGGCUUCAAUCGGACACUGAAAGUAAAGAGAGCAUGGCAACAAUGGCAGUCACAGCAUCCUCUUCUUUGUCUUCUCAUGCUGAGUUUAAAGGUCUCUCAGAAGAUAAAGAUCAUACUGAAGUAGAUGGUAACAAGAUUUCAGUAGCCCAGACCAAAGCCUUAGAUGAUGAGCAAGGCAAGCAUCAAAUGAGCGCUUCUCUUGGUGGGGUGAAAUUUUAUGAAUUAAGUGAUCAAGAUGCUUCUCGGACCCAACAAAAGGGCCUUUCAGAAUCAGGUGAUUAUGCACCAGGCUAUCAACCCAAGUCCAAAGUUACCUCAGAAGAUUAUUUACAAUAUAAAGAACAUAAGGCUCUGCAGGCCACAUCACAAGCUGCAGCAAAGAAAGGUGGGUCGAAAGAUCAAGAAAUUUUCAGGUCUCAAAUUAGAGUGAUUCCUUUGCGACCAGAUGGAGGUGGAGCGAAGGAUCAAAUAACAUUAUAUAACCAACUCAGGACUUUCAGGAGAAAAGGAGAUGAUGUUACAUUAAAGGCCAAAGUUUCUUCAGAUUUUCAAAUUAAGCCAAGUACCAAAUCAACAAUAUCUUUGGAGUCCCAGUCUCAAGGGACAACCUUUCCUAGUACAACAGUGGAAGGUGGUGGGGGAGAGGAAGCUGCUACUGAGCAGACCUUUGGACCUAUUCCAGUCGAGAAAAAAUUAGAUUGGGACCUAGGAAUAAAUUUGCAUAAGCAACCAUUGGCUCCUGACUAUAUUAAUAAGGCUUGGAGUUCUGAAAGAAAAAAAUGGCCCGUCUCUCCCGUGAGGAGUGCAAAGGAGAGCACAGAAUUACUUGAUCUGCCUUCUACAUCUUCAGUAGAGCAGGUUCAGAUGACAAAUCUGCUAAGAGGAGGAAAUCGAGAGCUGAAUGAGGGGCUUCAAAUGAAGGCUACAAGAUUGGAAGAACAUUUUGCUGCAUUCAAACUCAGAAUUCAGAAGGAUGAGGCCGCAGUCUUUCAAACAAACUUACCUGCAGAUGUCCAUAAAGAUUAUGUGCUGAAGGGUUCGGAGAAAAAAAACACAAUGCCUCCUACAGACCAAUUAUCUGAGAAGAAACUUGUGAAGGAGACUUAUAUUAGGGAAGUAGAUUUUGAUGCUAACUUGCUGUCAGACAUGGUAGAUAAUCAAGAAUAUGAGAGUAACUUGAGCCCAAAGUUCAGUGAUCAAUCAGAUGAUUUUAGAGGAAAAUUCUAUAAUAAAUAUAUGCAAAAAAGGAAUUCAAAACUACUAGAAGAAUGGGAAUCAAAAAGGACUCAGAAAGAAGCAAAGAUGAAGGCAAUGCGUGACAGCCUAGAACGUAGUCUGACUGAGAUGAGGGCUCAAUUUGUAGGAUCUGCUGCUGGACAAAAGUCAAACCGUGUCGAUCAUUCUGCUGAGUAGUGAAGUUCAUUUAGCAAUACUUCGGCUUUAAGAAAUAAAGAUCAGGGACAGGAUUAAGAAUAUUACAAAUAACCAGGAAACAUCCUGCUGUGAGUUAUCCAGGAAUAUGAAGAAUCAGUUUCCCAAUUCAUCUCACUUCAGAAAGGAAAAUGCAAAAUUAUCAACAUUAACCAGCAGGACAAGUGCACAAGUGCUGCCAACAAUCUUUUCUCAAAUCAAGAGCAUUAUUGAAGAGACUGAUUUUGUUAGGAGGACAAGCCAUAUGUAUUCAGUCCAUGGGGAAAAGCAAUGCUAGUACCAAUAAACUUAACGAGCUUUGGACUAUUAUUUCUGAUAGUGGAUAUUCCAAGGAGCAAAAUAAUCCAGAUUCUAUAAAUAAAGUCCAGAGAAGUGCAGAGUCCAAACUACUACUGAGAAAAGCCAAUCUUAUUGGUCAUGGUUCAGAGUCUGGUAUGAAUUUUCAGGAUAUUGUUGAUGAACGUCAUGUUUUUCCUAACAUGCAUAGAUGAAGAACUGGAGACAAAAUUUGCUUAUAGCAAUCUUGGGCCAAUCACUUUUCCUGUGGAAUGAAAUAGUGACAAGCCAAGGCAUGAGCAAAAUUUUGAAAUUCUGAUUCUUUUGGAUCAUAAACUAUUGAUGUUCCAAAAUUCACUGUCCAAGGUGGAUUAUGAUACUGUUCAUGUUACUUUGGCAGUAAAUGUACAAAAGUCACUAGAAGAGGGCCCUCAGUCAUGGAUACUAUCAAUUUUCUUUCAUGCAUGAGGCAUCAGAUACUGAGGCUUAUGUAGAUGCAUAUAUGGGGCAGCUUUAUGGAACUCUUUACCGAACCAAAUGGAGUCUGGUGCUAUUCAAACAAGAAAGAAAUAAGGAAUAUGUCUAUGAUUGUUGUCAAUGCAUCCCAGCUAGAACACAUGGAUGCCACUGAAGGUUUGAAACGUUUAAUAAAACUUGAGAAGAAUAACAGGGAUGUAGAGUUUGUAACAGAUUGUGUAUCUGAAGGGCUUCCAGAGGUGUUGACAGGAUAGCUAUAUGCACAUGAUGGGUUUGAUGAGAAUGUGAUUUUUCUUUAACAAGGCAACUUGAUUACUAAUCCUCCUGCAAACUUCACGUCGAGGAACAUCUAACUGGGAGUUCCUGAAUGGUUGCCAUCUAAUGGCAUUACAUUUUUGAGUUUAAUGAAAAUGAAAAUAUUUGUUUAUUGACUAAAUACUUGAAGCAGCUUCUCUUAUGACUGUCCUAUAUAUAUUUUGGGGGUUUCUUCCUGUAUGUUGUCUGCAAUUUCGAUUGACAAUCUUAAGAUCUGUUAUUUGAU